UCUGCCGGCCGGGCGGCCGCGCGCGGAAACGCUCGAGGAACGUCCGGGCUCCACAGGGCAGGGUGAUGGCUAACAGCCACCCGGGGUAACCCGCGGGACAGUGCCACAGAAAACAAACCACCGGCGCGUAUGCGGCGGUAAGGGUGAAAAGGUGAGGUAAGAGCUCACCAGCGGCGCGGGUGACCGCGUCGGCUAGGUAAACCCCACCCGGAGCAAGACCGAGCAGCAGGCAGGGCGGCCCGUCCGAUGCCUGCGGGUAGGUUGCUGGAGGCCGUCGGUAACGACGGUCCUAGAUAGAUGGUCGCCACCGCACCGCCGGUAACGGCGUGCGUGACAGAACCCGGCGUAUAGGCCGACAGAUGCC
RNAcentral lists this RNase P RNA (364 nucleotides) under Actinomyces sp. Its description in RNAcentral is "RNase P RNA component class A". It matches the Rfam family "Bacterial RNase P class A". Rfam says of the family: Ribonuclease P (RNase P) is a ubiquitous endoribonuclease, found in archaea, bacteria and eukarya as well as chloroplasts and mitochondria. Lineage: Bacteria; Bacillati; Actinomycetota; Actinomycetes; Actinomycetales; Actinomycetaceae. The record is from RNAcentral.